Molecule: transfer RNA, 72 nt
Filed under: Ovis aries (sheep)
Lineage: Eukaryota; Metazoa; Chordata; Mammalia; Artiodactyla; Bovidae
Rfam family: tRNA
About the family: Transfer RNA (tRNA) molecules are approximately 80 nucleotides in length. Their secondary structure includes four short double-helical elements and three loops (D, anti-codon, and T loops). Further hydrogen bonds mediate the characteristic L-shaped molecular structure. tRNAs have two regions of fundamental functional importance: the anti-codon, which is responsible for specific mRNA codon recognition, and the 3' end, to which the tRNAs corresponding amino acid is attached (by aminoacyl-tRNA synthetases). tRNAs cope with the degeneracy of the genetic code in two manners: having more than one tRNA (with a specific anti-codon) for a particular amino acid; and 'wobble' base-pairing, i.e. permitting non-standard base-pairing at the 3rd anti-codon position.
Source: Rfam by way of RNAcentral
UCCCUGGUGGCUCAGAUGGUUAAGUGCCUGCCUACAAUGCAGGAGACCUGGGUUCAACCCCUGGGUUGGGAA